This 1372-nucleotide ribosomal RNA is filed under the name uncultured bacterium. RNAcentral's name for it is "bacterial SSU rRNA". It matches the Rfam family "Bacterial small subunit ribosomal RNA", at positions 28 to 1381 of the family's 1533-position model. The record is from RNAcentral.
GAUGAACGCUGGCGGCGUGCCUAAUACAUGCAAGUCGAGCGAACGGACGAGAAGCUUGCUUCUCUGAUGUUAGCGGCGGACGGGUGAGUAACACGUGGAUAACCUACCUAUAAGACUGGGAUAACUUCGGGAAACCGGAGCUAAUACCGGAUAAUAUUUUGAACCGCAUGGUUCAAAAGUGAAAGACGGUCUUGCUGUCACUUAUAGAUGGAUCCGCGCUGCAUUAGCUAGUUGGUAAGGUAACGGCUUACCAAGGCAACGAUGCAUAGCCGACCUGAGAGGGUGAUCGGCCACACUGGAACUGAGACACGGUCCAGACUCCUACGGGAGGCAGCAGUAGGGAAUCUUCCGCAAUGGGCGAAAGCCUGACGGAGCAACGCCGCGUGAGUGAUGAAGGUCUUCGGAUCGUAAAACUCUGUUAUUAGGGAAGAACAUAUGUGUAAGUAACUGUGCACAUCUUGACGGUACCUAAUCAGAAAGCCACGGCUAACUACGUGCCAGCAGCCGCGGUAAUACGUAGGUGGCAAGCGUUAUCCGGAAUUAUUGGGCGUAAAGCGCGCGUAGGCGGUUUUUUAAGUCUGAUGUGAAAGCCCACGGCUCAACCGUGGAGGGUCAUUGGAAACUGGAAAACUUGAGUGCAGAAGAGGAAAGUGGAAUUCCAUGUGUAGCGGUGAAAUGCGCAGAGAUAUGGAGGAACACCAGUGGCGAAGGCGACUUUCUGGUCUGUAACUGACGCUGAUGUGCGAAAGCGUGGGGAUCAAACAGGAUUAGAUACCCUGGUAGUCCACGCCGUAAACGAUGAGUGCUAAGUGUUAGGGGGUUUCCGCCCCUUAGUGCUGCAGCUAACGCAUUAAGCACUCCGCCUGGGGAGUACGACCGCAAGGUUGAAACUCAAAGGAAUUGACGGGGACCCGCACAAGCGGUGGAGCAUGUGGUUUAAUUCGAAGCAACGCGAAGAACCUUACCAAAUCUUGACAUCCUUUGACAACUCUAGAGAUAGAGCCUUCCCCUUCGGGGGACAAAGUGACAGGUGGUGCAUGGUUGUCGUCAGCUCGUGUCGUGAGAUGUUGGGUUAAGUCCCGCAACGAGCGCAACCCUUAAGCUUAGUUGCCAUCAUUAAGUUGGGCACUCUAAGUUGACUGCCGGUGACAAACCGGAGGAAGGUGGGGAUGACGUCAAAUCAUCAUGCCCCUUAUGAUUUGGGCUACACACGUGCUACAAUGGACAAUACAAAGGGCAGCGAAACCGCGAGGUCAAGCAAAUCCCAUAAAGUUGUUCACAGUUCGGAUUGUAGUCUGCAACUCGACUACAUGAAGCUGGAAUCGCUAGUAAUCGUAGAUCAGCAUGCUACGGUGAAUACGUUCCCGGGUCU